ACCCUUAGAUGUCCUGGGCUGCACGCGCGCUACACUGGAAGUUACGGAUUGAGAUACUACCUUGUCCGAAAUGGUCCGGGUAAUCACCUAAAAGCUUGUCAUAAUUGGAAUGGAUUAUUGUAACUAGUAAUCCUGAACGAGGAAUUCCUAGUAAGUCCCAGUCAACAGCUGGUACUGAUUACGUCCCUGCCCUUUGUACACACCGCCCGUCGCUACUACUGAUUGGACGUUUAAGCAAGAUUUUUAAGCACUGACAGUGUGUAGUUCACGCUAUACUACAGUGAGAAGAAGAAGAUCGAGCUUACUUGUCUAGAGGAAGUAAAAGUCGUAACA
Molecule: ribosomal RNA, 333 nt
Filed under: uncultured eukaryote
Lineage: Eukaryota
Description: partial 18S ribosomal RNA
Rfam family: Eukaryotic small subunit ribosomal RNA
Source: RNAcentral